This 47-nucleotide non-coding RNA is filed under the name Schistosoma margrebowiei. The record is from RNAcentral. Lineage: Eukaryota; Metazoa; Platyhelminthes; Trematoda; Strigeidida; Schistosomatidae.
GCACUGCUGAGGAGUCCCACAAAAAGGACGAAACGGUCGUUCAGUGC